This 253-nucleotide ribosomal RNA is filed under the name uncultured bacterium. RNAcentral describes it as "partial 16S ribosomal RNA". It matches the Rfam family "Bacterial small subunit ribosomal RNA", at positions 524 to 776 of the family's 1533-position model. The record is from RNAcentral.
UACGUAGGGUGCGAGCGUUGUCCGGAAUUAUUGGGCGUAAAGAGCUCGUAGGCGGCUUGUCGCGUCGUCCGUGAAAACCAGGGGCUCAACCCCUGGCUUGCGGUCGAUACGGGCAGGCUAGAGUUCGGUAGGGGAGACUGGAAUUCAUGGUGUAGCGGUGAAAUGCGCAGAUAUCAGGAGGAACACCGGUGGCGAAGGCGGAUCUCUGGGCCUUACCUGACGCUCAGGUGCGAAAGCUAGGGGAGCGAACAGG